Molecule: ribosomal RNA, 492 nt
Filed under: uncultured bacterium
Lineage: Bacteria
Description: partial 16S ribosomal RNA
Rfam family: Bacterial small subunit ribosomal RNA
Source: RNAcentral
AGUGAACGCUGGCGGUAGGCCUAACACAUGCAAGUCGAACGGCAGCACAGUAAGAGCUUGCUCUUACGGGUGGCGAGUGGCGGACGGGUGAGGAAUACAUCGGAAUCUACUUUUUCGUGGGGGAUAACGUAGGGAAACUUACGCUAAUACCGCAUACGACCUACGGGUGAAAGCAGGGGAUCUUCGGACCUUGCGCGAUUGAAUGAGCCGAUGUCGGAUUAGCUAGUUGGCGGGGUAAAGGCCCACCAAGGCGACGAUCCGUAGCUGGUCUGAGAGGAUGAUCAGCCACACUGGAAGUGAGACGCGGUCCAGACUCCUACGGGAGGCAGCAGUGGGGAAUAUGGGACAAUGGGCGCAAGCCUGAUCCAGCCAUACCGCGUGGGUGAAGAAGGCCUUCGGGUUGUAAAGCCCUUUUGUUGGGAAAGAAAAGCAGCAGGUUAAUACCCCGCUGUUCUGACGGUACCCAAAGAAUAAGCACCGGCUAACUUCGUG